RNAcentral lists this small RNA (134 nucleotides) under Escherichia coli. RNAcentral describes it as "RtT sRNA". It matches the Rfam family "RtT RNA". Rfam says of the family: This family represents a bacterial cis-regulatory element known as RtT RNA. The exact function of RtT is unknown although it is thought that it may be involved in changing the cellular response in relation to amino acid starvation. The record is from RNAcentral. Lineage: Bacteria; Pseudomonadati; Pseudomonadota; Gammaproteobacteria; Enterobacterales; Enterobacteriaceae.
UGCAUUUGAAGCCCAUGAGGAUGAGAACCUCCGGGGGCGGGGAGGUUCGACUCGAGCGAAGCGAGAUAACGUUGCGCCAGCAACGGCCCGCAGGGCGAGCCACGAAGUGGCGAGUAAUCCUCUAUCACCGACCA